Molecule: long non-coding RNA, 2568 nt
Filed under: Manihot esculenta (cassava)
Lineage: Eukaryota; Viridiplantae; Streptophyta; Magnoliopsida; Malpighiales; Euphorbiaceae
Description: long non-coding RNA (MESC_LNC006116)
Rfam family: Plant signal recognition particle RNA (bases 2265-2567)
Source: RNAcentral
UCGAGCUCAGUAACGUGGGCUUGUAACCCAAGUGGGGGCUCUAAGGUGUUGGAACGUUGUUCGAGCCCUUAUGGCAGGAUCAGGCUUGGCUAAUUUCUGGCUUGCCCGUUCCAAGCUGAGAGUUAAACCAUGGGACCUGGGCGAAGGCUUGGGUCUCCUAGUUCCUAGAGCAGAGGGUAAUGCGUGAGGCUGGCUUCACAGAGCAGCGAUUACCUCUCGCUCCCAGCAGCGGAAGGAUAACAGGUCGGUGCCAUCCUGGUCCAUAUGGCUAGAUGGGCUGUGCUAACUGGACCAUCACUUUUUUCCAUUCACAUUUUAAUUUUUUUAUUAAAAAAAUAUUUGAGAAUUAGAGUAAUCGAUAAUAAAUAGCAAAACUUUAGAAGCAUAUCACAUUAAUAAUAUCCCUAUCAAUGAAAUAACUAACUUCCUAUUCAUGUGACUUGCAUAUUAAAGGAGAAAAAAAUACUCUACUCAUAUUAUUAUUCUAAUCUCAAAAUAAAUUUCUUCGCCUCCCCUUUUCAGCAAAAAUAACUGUACUUUGACAAUUGAAUAAUUACAAAUUAUAUCUUCCACAGAUAGCUGAACAAAAUGUAAACAUACAUUUCCUUUAAUAGAAUCAAUUUCAGUGGGUAAUCUAAGCCGUACAGAAUAAAGCAAUGAAUCGUACACCACGGAUACCCUUCAAAAGAUCUAAAUGGUCUGCAGCAAUACAUUGCACUUUCAUUUUCUGAAAGUAUACAGUCUAGGAUUCAAGAUUUUCUCCAGUCACAAAAAGGAUUACUGAUUCAAGUCCUUGAUAGAUUUAGACACCUAGUUUCAACUGCUAUAAAUAAAUACAUAUAUUGGAAAGCUUUGUGGUAGUUCUAAAUUAAUGGCAAUCAAAAUAAGUCUCUCUUCUACUUCUCCUCCCUAAAGAAUCGCCUUUAGAAUUCUUCCACUGUUAAACCAAAUGGUCUGAGCUUCUCCCUGAACUGCUCAUUUGAUCCCUGUUGAUCAGUGUCAAUGAUCCGACUUGUCGACCAACCUUUCCGAGACGUCCUACCCAUUUGUGGUGGUUUAAGGCUUGAUUUGUGUAUAAAUAUAUUUUCUUUCCUUCUUUGUCUUAUGCAGUAUUAGAAAUUUAGUUUGUACAACGCAGAAAGUUUGGCUUAUACUGUAUAAAAAGGUUUGCAUUCUUAAGUUUUUCUAAACAAGGUGAACUUGGUGUAUAAAUUGUCACUUCCCUGCCAAUGAAAGGGAAAUGAUUUUUAUUCUCAAAUUGUGUGAUUCUCCAAAUUUUACAUGAUAUCAGAGUCAUAAAAGUUGAAAAAAAAACACGGAGAGAAUUCAGAAACAAUGAAAAUUUCUUCCAAUCUUUAUACACUAAAUUUAAAUGACAACCCAAGCAAUUUGACUACCUGAGUGCAGUUGUAAAGAGGGAAGUACGAAAAAUGGACAAGGGCCAUGUGGACUACGUUGAGAGCCAAAAAGAAAUACAAUUUUAUCGAUAGAUCCUUCAAACAUUUAAUACCAUUGAACCAACACUUAGAUUGAUUAUCUCUCACGUCCAAAAGAUGAAGAAUUUGUGAGAAGAUAUUAAGCAGAGUUUCUCGGGAAUGCAGCAGUUGAGAUCUAACAAAUAAUAAUAAUAAUAAAAAUUAUGGAAGCAUGUGACUUAACUCAAGCAAAAGAGUUAUAAAAGUGUUUCUUUGGAAAAAAUAGUUUGAAAAAAGCUAUUUUAUUAUUUUAUAUUCUCGUAAUUAAAUUAUAUGAAAAAUAAUUUUAAAUUAUCUUUUAAUAUUCUUAAACGAUAUUUUUAAAAAAAUAUUUUUCUCAAUGGCAACUCCAACAGUAAUGUCAAACAAUCCCUUAAAAUAAUAGAUGUAUUCCUUAAUUCCUCUCCAAAGAUCAAAUAUUUCUACACAUACUUGACCAACAAAGAACAUAGUUGAUCAAUUUGUAAGAGAUCAAUAUCUUCUUAGUUGAUAGGUUUAUCAUUGAUUUUUAAAAAAUUGGAAGGCCUCAAAUCCAAAGUUUUAUGAAUUUUUCUUAUGAUUUAUAGUGGUUUAUGCUUGAACUCACACUUAUAAUCAAAUUGUUGAACUGCACGUACCCAAUUAUAUACCAAGUUCAAUUAAGGUUUAUUUUUUUUUAAUGAUGAAAUCAGCAAAAUUCAAGUGACGUUUUCUUGAGGGGCAUAUGGACAUUAAAGAAUGUCAAUCCCAUAUCGGCCAGAAUUAAAACUCAUUAAUAUUUAUCUUUCCAAUGCAAGGACAAUGGAAAUCGCUGAGCUCAGUAACGUGGGCUUGAAACCCAAGUGGGGGCUUUGAGGUGUUGGGACGUUGUUCGAGCCCUUAUGGCAGGAUCAGGCUUGGCUAAUUUCUGGCUUGCCCGUUCCAAGCUGAGAGUUAAACCAUGGGACCUGGGCGAAGGCUUGGGUCUCCUAGUUCCUAGAGCAGGGGGUAAUGCGUGAGGCUGGCUUCACAGAGCAGCGAUUACCUCUCGCUCCCAGCAGUGGAAGGAUAACAGGUCAGUACCAUCCUGGUUCAUAUGGCUAGAUGGGCUGUGCUAACUGGACCAUCACUUUUU